Phyllostomus discolor (pale spear-nosed bat) is the source of this 130-nucleotide small nucleolar RNA. RefSeq annotates it as small nucleolar RNA SNORA33. Lineage: Eukaryota; Metazoa; Chordata; Mammalia; Chiroptera; Phyllostomidae. The record is from RefSeq and is a predicted model, not a curated record. The transcript has a single exon.
AAGCUAGCCAAUGAAUCUGCUUACCUGAAUGUGUUUCAGCAGAAAUUUAGACAAAGCUGGUGAUAGUAAAGCGUUGUUACUAGCCUUAAAGACAUUGAACUCAUUAAGGUCCCUGAAAAUGGCUAUAAGA